GGAGUAAUGCGUGCUGGAGAACGUAGUCCCCCAGGUUCCCGUUUGGUCCUAGCCUGCCUCACUUUCGUCAAGAGAACUUUCCCAUCUAGUUCUGCCUGUUGAAGAAGGGACUCUUUACAGAGAGGCUCAGACCAUGCUGUCCACAGUCCAAGGCUGCCCUAGGAGAUAACGUUUAAACACACCAGAGCCUGAAGUGGGUGAUCAAUAACCCGGGAGGUGAUGCGCUCAGGCCAGGAGGCCCUGGGAGAGAGUGCUGCGGGGAUGCCAGGGGUCCACACCUGGGAAGACGAAGAUGAAGCAGGCGGCCAGCCCUCCAAUGACCGAGAUGACCUUGCCGAUGUCAGGGAUGAAGAGCGCCAGCAGCAGGGGAACAACCAACUUAUUUGUUCGAAAGUGCUGACAAAAUGUACACUCCUCUCUCCUUCCUCCCCUUCCACAUAUGGAAGCUGAGUGACACUGCAUGUCCCUAUAAGCCAAGUAUAAAGGAGCUCUGAAGGAUCAGUGGUGGGAAGGGCUGAUGGCUGGGGAAUGGCAAAGCGCCUUUACCAUUGUUUCCGCAAAUCCGGGCUGGUCAGAAUGGUGGAGGCAAUCCGGGCACCAUUGAGAGGAGGGUUGGAAUACAUGGGACGGAUCAGGAUCUUCAACUGUGAUUCUACCCUCUUGGCUUCAUCAGCAUCUUUGCAGACCACAGUGAAGGCUCCAACACGCUCACCUGAAAAGAAAAAAUGGAUCUUGUCUUCUGGUUCUCCUAUCUAAAAUACUAAAGACAGUUGUGAUUCCAUUCGCUAUGUGUUAUCUGUUUCCAUGAGAAGCACAAAAUAACGCUUUGUUAUAAACAAGAAGUUUUCAACAACCAGCAUGGUGAAUCUCCAACAGAAAGUUGGAGUACUACAGAGUGGUCACAGGUCUCUCUUCAUUGUA
Molecule: long non-coding RNA, 921 nt
Organism: Globicephala melas (long-finned pilot whale)
Lineage: Eukaryota; Metazoa; Chordata; Mammalia; Artiodactyla; Delphinidae
Source: RefSeq, a predicted model, not a curated record